RNAcentral lists this ribosomal RNA (253 nucleotides) under uncultured bacterium. Its description in RNAcentral is "partial 16S ribosomal RNA". It matches the Rfam family "Bacterial small subunit ribosomal RNA", at positions 524 to 776 of the family's 1533-position model. The record is from RNAcentral.
UACGGGGGGUGCAAGCGUUAUUCGGAAUUAUUGGGCGUAAAGGGCGCGUAGGCGGUUGAAUAAGUCAGAUGUGAAAGCCCUUGGCUUAACCAAGGAAGUGCAUUUGAUACUAUUUGACUUGAGUAUGGGAGAGGGAAGUGGAAUUCCUGGUGUAGAGGUGAAAUUCGUAGAUAUCAGGAGGAACACCGGUGGCGAAAGCGACUUCCUGGACUGUAACUGACGCUGAGGCACGAAAGCGUGGGGAGCAAACAGG